RNAcentral lists this ribosomal RNA (478 nucleotides) under uncultured bacterium. Its description in RNAcentral is "partial 16S ribosomal RNA". It matches the Rfam family "Bacterial small subunit ribosomal RNA", at positions 28 to 523 of the family's 1533-position model. The record is from RNAcentral.
GACGAACGCUGGCGGCGCGCUUAACACAUGCAAGUCGAGCGAGAACCAGGACUUCGGUCCUGGGGAGAGCGGCGAACGGGUGCGUAACACGUGAGCAACCUGCCCCGAAGACCGGGACAACCCGAGGAAACUCGGGCUAAUACCGGAUGCCUUCACCGGAUCGCAUGAUCUGCUGAAGAAAUGGCUUCCGCUUCGGGAUGGGCUCGCGGCCUAGCAGCUUGUUGGUGAGGUAACGGCUCACCAAGGCAACGACGGGUAGCUGGUCUGAGAGGAUGUCCAGCCACACUGGGACUGAGACACGGCCCAGACUCCUACGGGAGGCAGCAGUGGGGAAUCUUGCACAAUGGGCGAAAGCCUGAUGCAGCGACGCCGCGUGCGGGAUGAAGGCCUUCGGGUUGUAAACCGCUUUCAGCAGGGACGAUCGUGACGGUACCUGCAGAAGAAGCCCCGGCCAACUACGUGCCAGCCGCCGCGGUAA